ACUAGAGCAAUCUUUCUCAAAGUUUAGUCAUUUUUUUUUUCCUUUUUGAUAGUAUUCAAUGAGAAAUAACACUUUAAAUAAAACUUUUUCCAUGAGGAAGGUACAGUAAUUAUCCAC
Molecule: unclassified non-coding RNA, 117 nt
Organism: Nomascus leucogenys (northern white-cheeked gibbon)
Lineage: Eukaryota; Metazoa; Chordata; Mammalia; Primates; Hylobatidae
Source: Ensembl